Long non-coding RNA from Amphiprion ocellaris (clown anemonefish), 439 nucleotides. NCBI's taxonomy places the organism in Eukaryota, Metazoa, Chordata, Actinopteri, Pomacentridae. The record is from Ensembl.
CGCACAUCCUGCAUCAACUCGUGACCACCAGAGCUUCUUGGACACGAUGCUGCCCUUGUACCCCUGCCGGUUCCUGUUUGGGUUUCCUGCCUACCCCUUCAGCUGAGUUUCUUCCCAUUACCAUCUGCUACAAAGCAUUACUGGGUAACAGAUACACCUAAUGAAGAUCAGAAAUAUUCAAGCAGAAACCUUCAGCUUCCAUGAAGAUUGAAAUCAUUCUGCCAUGAAGACCUAACAACCUUCAAAGACAAAUUGAAAAUGGGAAGAAGUGCUGCGGAGCGCUGCGUCACCCUGCGGAGCGCUGCGUCACCCUGCGGAGCGCUGCGUCACCCUGCGGAGCCUCAACUCAACUCAACUCAACUCAACUCAACUCAACUCAACUCAACUCAACUCAACUCAACUCAACUCAACUCAACUCAACUCAACUCAACUCAACUCA